Molecule: unclassified non-coding RNA, 280 nt
Filed under: air metagenome
Description: partial contains small subunit ribosomal RNA, internal transcribed spacer 1, and 5.8S ribosomal RNA
Rfam family: Eukaryotic small subunit ribosomal RNA (bases 1-46)
Source: RNAcentral
AAGUCGUAACAAGGUUUCCGUAGGUGAACCUGCGGAAGGAUCAUUAUCGAGUUUUAUGAACAGGUUGUCGCUGGCCUUUCACGAGGCAUGUGCACGCUUGGCUCAUUUUCCACUCUUCAACUUCUGUGCACUUUUUGUAAGAACCGGUGAAAGCCAGCUGGGUAACAGCUGGUAGAAACCUCUUCUUAUGUUUUAUUACACACGCCUCAGUUUAUAGAAUGUCAAUGUUGUGUAUAACACAAUUUAAAUAUAACUUUCAGCAACGGAUCUCUUGGCUCUC